RNAcentral lists this ribosomal RNA (439 nucleotides) under uncultured bacterium. RNAcentral describes it as "partial 16S ribosomal RNA". It matches the Rfam family "Bacterial small subunit ribosomal RNA", at positions 338 to 795 of the family's 1533-position model. The record is from RNAcentral.
CCUACGGGUGGCAGCAGUGGGGAAUAUUGCACAAUGGGGGAAACCCUGAUGCAGCGACGCCGCGUGAGUGAAGAAGUAUUUCGGUAUGUAAAGCUCUAUCUGCAGGGAAGAUAAUGCCGGUACCUGAGUACGAAGCCCCGGCUAACUACGUGCCAGCAGCCGCGGUAAUACGUAGGGGGCCAGCGUUAUCCGGAUUUAUUGGGUUUAAAGGGUGCGUAGGCGGACUGUUAAGUCAGCGGUAAAAGCCCGGGGCUCAACCCCGGCGAGCCGUUGAAACUGGCUGUCUUGAGAUGUCGAGAGGUAUGCGGAAUGCGCGGUGUAGCGGUGAAAUGCUUAGAUAUUGCGCAGAACUCCGAUUGCGAAGGCAGCAUGCCGGCGGCGAUCUGACGCUGAGGCACGAAAGCGUGGGUAUCGAACAGGAUUAGAUACCCUUGUAGUC